AGCGAACGCUGGCGGCAGGCCUAACACAUGCAAGUCGAGUGGGCGUAGCAAUACGUCAGCGGCAGACGGGAGAGUAACACGUGGGAACGUGCCCUUUGGUUCGGAAUAACUCAGGGAAACUUGAGCUAAUACCGGAUAAGCCCUUCGGGGGAAAGAUUUAUUGCCAUUGGAGCGGCCCGCUUCGGAUUAGCUAGUUGGUGAGGUAAUGGCUCACCAAGGAGACGAUCCGUAGCUGGUCCGAGAGGAUGACCAGCCUCACUGGGACUGAGACACGGCGCAGACUCGUACGUGAGGCCGCAUUGGGGAAUAUUGGACAAUGGGCGAAAGCCUGAUCCAGCCAUGCCGCGUGGAUGAUGAAGGCCCCAGGGUUGUAAAGACCUUUUAACGGGGAAGAUAAAGACGGUACCCGUAGAAUAAGCCCCGGUUAACUUCGUGACAGCCGCCGCCGUAA
Molecule: ribosomal RNA, 451 nt
Filed under: uncultured bacterium
Lineage: Bacteria
Description: partial 16S ribosomal RNA
Rfam family: Bacterial small subunit ribosomal RNA
Source: RNAcentral